RNAcentral lists this long non-coding RNA (728 nucleotides) under Homo sapiens (human). RNAcentral describes it as "non-protein coding lnc-RXRA-2:1". Lineage: Eukaryota; Metazoa; Chordata; Mammalia; Primates; Hominidae. The record is from RNAcentral.
CAUGGCUGGAGGGGCGCAGGGCUCCGUCUUCACAGAGGAAUCCCCGGCCCGGCCCAGGGGGGUUGCUCCUCCUCACCGGCUGUCUUCAGAACCCCUGGUUCUCUUCUCUCACACAUGUGCCAGGCUGUGGACAAAUUCGGGCUCAUGUCCACAUCUGUUGGCUGGACAUGGUGUCAGCAGGCAAGGCCUGGGGUCGCUGAGGGGGCUGCAGAGUGGCCAGGAAGGUCAUGGAAGGAUCCAGGAGAGAGUGCUGUGGGCGCCUGUGAAUGAGAAGGCCCAGGACACGGAGGCGGCCAUCAGACUGUUCGUAAAUAAAUGGAAACCCGAUCUCCAAAGCUAACCUCGCUUCUUACAGUGUCUAAACCUCACAAACAUCCUGCCGUUUGAGUCUGCAAUGAGCUGCCAACACGAGCCCCUGGUGUUGCUCACCACAAGUGAACCUGAGCAGUGCCCCAUGGGCUGGUUUCAGGAGCUCAGCUGCAGCCCGAGGGCCCAGGGUCACCUGCAUCCUCUGCGGUUUGCGUUGGUCUGGGAGCUGGCGGGGCCGGAGGGGAAAGCCCAGGGGUAUGGGGAAGUGGCUGCAGCCCUCGACCGCUCCUCCGAGUCAUGUCUCAGUGCAAUCAGACCUGGGCCUGGGAGCUUAGCUCCAACACGAUUUACAAUUCAAUUGUGAAAUGGGAUAAAAAUUAGACAUCCCCCUUCGGGCAUCUCAAUUUUCUUUGUUAAAG